GCAUAUCAAUAAGCGGAGGAAAAGAAACCAACAGGGAUUACCUCAGUAACGGCGAGUGAAGCGGUAACAGCUCAAAUUUGAAAGCUAGCUCUUUUAGGGUUCGCAUUGUAAUUUGUAGAAGAUGCUUCGGGUGUGGCCCCGGUCUAAGUUCCUUGGAACAGGACGUCAUAGAGGGUGAGAAUCCCGUAUGUGACUGGGUGCUUUCGCUCAUGUGAAGCUCUUUCGACGAGUCGAGUUGUUUGGGAAUGCAGCUCAAAAUGGGUGGUAAAUUUCAUCUAAAGCUAAAUAUUGGCCAGAGACCGAUAGCGCACAAGUAGAGUGAUCGAAAGAUGAAAAGCACUUUGGAAAGAGAGUUAAACAGUACGUGAAAUUGUUGAAAGGGAAGCGCUUGCAACCAGACUUGCGCGCUGAUGAUCAUCCGGGCUUCUGCCCGGUGCACUCGUCUGCGCUCAGGCCAGCAUCGGUUUCGGUGGUGGGAUAAAGGCCUUGGGAAUGUAGCUUCUUUCGGGGAGUGUUAUAGCCCUCGGUGCAAUGCCGCCUACCGGGACCGAGGACCGCGCUUCGGCUAGGAUGCUGGCGUAAUGGUUGUAAGCGACCCGUCUUGAAACACGGACC
RNAcentral lists this ribosomal RNA (615 nucleotides) under Exophiala heteromorpha. Its description in RNAcentral is "eukaryotic LSU rRNA". It matches the Rfam family "Eukaryotic large subunit ribosomal RNA", at positions 38 to 667 of the family's 3401-position model. The record is from RNAcentral. RNAcentral also lists the same sequence under 3 other names. Lineage: Eukaryota; Fungi; Ascomycota; Eurotiomycetes; Chaetothyriales; Herpotrichiellaceae.